UCUUCAUGGCAUGCGGUAAGGAAAUGGUCCAUUGCUUCAGUGUAUUUCUCGUUUACAAGAUGGCGUUGGCAGCAAAUUGCUUUAUUUAGCUUAUCACAACAAGCUACUGGCUUCUCUGUGGGACAAAGACUCGACUCUAUGGACAUUGAGUAAUUCUGUAAACCUAUUAGAUUUUUUAAAAAAAUAUUUGUGUUUAGCCAAUUAGUCAUAAGUGUUGAUUAUAUCGG
RNAcentral lists this long non-coding RNA (227 nucleotides) under Elaeis guineensis (African oil palm). RNAcentral describes it as "long non-coding RNA (EGUI_LNC015550)". Lineage: Eukaryota; Viridiplantae; Streptophyta; Magnoliopsida; Arecales; Arecaceae. The record is from RNAcentral.